RNAcentral lists this long non-coding RNA (264 nucleotides) under Lathyrus oleraceus (garden pea). RNAcentral describes it as "Pisum sativum (pea) long non-coding RNA (PSAT_LNC024600)". The record is from RNAcentral. Lineage: Eukaryota; Viridiplantae; Streptophyta; Magnoliopsida; Fabales; Fabaceae.
AGUACGAACAAAACCCGAAGAAGUUUUAAAACAAAGCUAAUAAAAGAGAUAAGGGUCUGGGGUUUAGUUAUGCAACGGGAGGUGUUAACACCUUAAACAUCCAUGGUACUCCAUGGGAACCUCUUUGAAAAUGUGCCUUUUGGUUUAGAAAUGGGUAUUGUUUGCAAAAGAUUGGAAAGAUGGGAAAAUAAAUGUUUUUUUUUAUGAUUUUUGUGUUUGCCAAGACUUUUUAUAAGUCUCAUGCCUACGUACCAACAAAGUGAA